Molecule: non-coding RNA, 29 nt
Filed under: Rattus norvegicus (Norway rat)
Lineage: Eukaryota; Metazoa; Chordata; Mammalia; Rodentia; Muridae
Source: RNAcentral
UGAUUUCAUUUUGGGGUCCUGGACACAAU